Molecule: ribosomal RNA, 460 nt
Filed under: uncultured bacterium
Lineage: Bacteria
Description: partial 16S ribosomal RNA
Rfam family: Bacterial small subunit ribosomal RNA
Source: RNAcentral
CCUACGGGUGGCAGCAGUGAGGAAUAUUGGUCAAUGGACGAGAGUCUGAACCAGCCAAGUAGCGUGAAUGAUGACUGCCCUAUGGGUUGUAAACUUCUUUUAUAUGGGAAUAAAAUGUUCCGCGUGUGGGAUUUUGUAUGUACCAUAUGAUUAAGGAUCUGCUAACUCCGUGCCAGCAGCCGCGGUAAUCCGGAGGAUCCGAGCGUUAGCCGGAUUUCUUGGGUUUAGAGGGAGCGUAGGUGGGUUGUAAAGUCAGUUGUGAAAGUUUGCGGCUUAACCGUAACAUUGCGGUGGAAACUGGCAGUCGUGAGUACAGUAGAGGUGGGCGGAAUUCGUGGUGUAGCGGUGAAAUGCUUAGAUAUCACGAAGAACUCCGAUUGCGAAGGCAGCUCACUGGACUGCAACUGACACUGAGGCUCGAAAGUGUGGGUAUCAAACAGGAUUAGAUACCCCUGUAGUC